GAACGAGACAAGCACAGUACUGACGAGCGGCACAGAGGACGACUGCUGUGGUUACACGUGUGAACCUAAGAUCAGUCCCAAGCCACGAUGUAACCGGAACCCGUGUACAUACACACGGUGUCCAUCCGGAACAACCUGCGAGGCGAAUGCAAACACUUGUUUGGCGACGUGUGUUCCCAUAAUAUUCAUCUGAUUCUGAGCUACACAGACUGAUGGGAUGAUGGGGGACAGCUCGGCCUGCCCUCUGGUGCUGAAAACGUAACAACCUUAUUGCAUACGCGUAGAACGUCUUACACGAGGAGCUAUCGUUAGACGCUAUAUUUGAUAUCACAUUCGAACUAACAUCCAUGGUCAAUCAUCAAACUUAUCAUAGAAGUUAUUACCAAUAUUUAAAAAAAUAGACAACUUGAUAUUUAAUAAUUAUUAUAAUAUUAUUAUUAUGUCACAUAGUUUUGAGAUAGUAAUGUCAAAUUACAAUGAAUAAAAAUAAAUUUUAAAUUAUAUGAUUUUA
Molecule: long non-coding RNA, 511 nt
Organism: Priapulus caudatus
Lineage: Eukaryota; Metazoa; Priapulida; Priapulimorpha; Priapulimorphida; Priapulidae
Exons: 3
Source: RefSeq, a predicted model, not a curated record